UAACAUCACCGUCUGUCUGUCUGUCUGUCUGUCUGUCUGUCAAAACCCCAUCAGUUCACUACGACUCAGAGUGGACAUGAUCAAUAGAUAACAUCACCGUCUGUCUGUCUGUCAAGACCCCGUCUGUCAAGACCCCAUCAGUUCACUACAACUCAAAGUGGACAUGAUCAAUAGAUAACAUCACUGUCUGUCUGUCUGUCAGCGUUGGGCUCAAUUCAGACUUGAGUUAAGAAUACUUCUUGAAUUUGAAUUGAAGUAGUAAACAGAAUACAGAAUUGAAAUUUGAAUUUGAAUGAAAGGAAAUAGAAUUGAAUUCAGUGAAAUUCAAAUGCCUCUUGUAUUGUAUAUUAGGUGUAGUCUAUAACUAUAUAUGUUGAAACAGUAGAUUUUUAGGACAAACUAUCUUCCAAUUAAUUAAUGAUCUAGGACAACAAAUCCUGUAUGCAAAUAUUCUGUUUUCAUUAAUCACUUAUUAAUCACACAUAUAUAUAUAUAUAUACUGUAUACACAAAACAUUAGUUUCACCCCUUUUUUCCCUCAGAACAGCCUCAAUUUGUCGGGGCAGGGACUCUACAAGAUAUCAAAUGUGUUCAUCAGGGAUGCUGGCCCAUGUUGUCACAGGGAUGCUGGCCCAUGUUGUCACAGGGAUGCUGGCCCAUGUUGUCACAGGGAUACUGGCCCAUGUUGACUCCAAUGCUUCCCACAGUUGUGUCAAGUUGGCUUGAUGUCCUUUGGGUGAUGGAUCAUUAUUGAUACACACAGAGAAACUGUUGAAUGUGAAAAACCCAGCAGCGUUGCCGUUCUUAACACAAACCAGUACACCUGGCACCUACCACCAUACACAGUUCAGACACUUAAACAUUUAGUCUUGUCCAUUCACCCUCUGAAUGACACACACAAUCCAUGUCUCAAUUGCCAUUCUUUAACCCGUCUCCUCCCCUUCAUCUACACUGAUUGAAGUGGAUUUAACAGGUGACAUCAAUAAGGGAUCAUAUCUUUCACCUGGAUUCACCUGGUCAGUCUGUGUUUAGGAAAGAGCAGGCGUUCCUAAUGUUUUGUGCACUCCGUGUAUAUUGUAAAUGCUAACUGACAGAGUAAUUGUCCCAUAAGUUUUAAAUGAGGUGUUAACAUUUGGUAUUGUUUGUAAACAUUUAAAUAAAAGCUAUUUAGUUCAGUUUUUAAGUUGUAAUGGGGAGGAUCAGUAGUUCAGAGGGCAGGGUGAUCAGUAGUUCAGAGGGCAGGGUGAUCAGUAGUUCAGAGGGCAGGGUGAUCAGUAGUUCAGAGGGCAGGGUGAUCAGUAGCCAGGGUGAUCAGUGGCCAGGGUGAUCAGUAGUUCAGGGGCAGGGUGAUCAGUAGCCAGGGUGAUCAGUGGCCAGGGUGAUCAGUAGUUCAGAGGGCAGGGUGAUCAGUAGUUCAGAGGGCAGGGUGAUCAGUGGCCAGGGUGAUCAGUAGUUCAGAGGGCAGGGUGAUCAGUAGUUCAGAGGGCAGGGUGAUCAGUGGCCAGGGUGAUCAGUAGUUCAGAGGGCAGGGUGAUCAGUAGUUCAGAGGGCAGGGUGAUCAGUAGCCCAGGGUGAUCAGUGGCCAGGGUGAUCAGUAGUUCAGAGGGCAGGGUGAUCAGUAGUUCAGAGGGCAGGGUGAUCAGUAGUUCAGAGGGCAGGGUGAUCAGUAGUUCAGAGGGCAGGGUGAUCAGUAGUUCAGGGGGCAGGGUGAUCAAUAGUUCUGUGGCCUGGGUGAUCAGUAGUUCAGAGGUCAGGGUGACCAGUGGCCAGGGUGAUCAGUAGUUCAGAGAGCAGGGUGAUCAAUAGUUCAGAGAGCAGGGUGAUCAAUAGUUCUGUGGCCAGGGUGAUCAGUAGUUCUGUGGCCAGGGUGAUCAGUAGUUCAGAGGUCAGGGUGAUCAGUAGUUCAGAGGGCAGGGUGAUCAGUAGUUCUGUGGCCAGGGUGAUCAAUAGUUCUGUGGCCAGGGUGAUCAGUAGUUAGAGGUCAGGGUGAUCGGUAGUUCUGAGGUCGGGGUGAUCGGUGGUUCUGUGGUCAGGAUGAUAGGUAGUUCUGAGGUCAGGGUGAUCGGUAGUUCUGUGGUCAGGAUGAUAGGUAGUUCUGAGGUCAAGUCUGGCCAGGGUGAUCAGUAGUUCUGUGGUCAGGAUGAUCAGUAGUUCUGUGGUCAGGGUGAUCAAUAGUUAUGUGGCCAGUGUGAUCAGUAGUUCAGAGGUCAGGGUGAUCAGUAGUUCAGAGGGCAGGGUGAUCAGUAGUUCUGUGGCCAGGGUGAUCAAUAGUUCUGUGGCCAGGGUGAUCAGUAGUUAGAGGUCAGGGUGAUCGGUAGUUCAGAGGUCAGGGUGAUCGGUAGUUCUGAGGUCGGGGUGAUCGGUAGUUCCGGGGGUCGGGUGAUCGGUAAUUCCGGGUCAGGAUGAUCGGUAGUUCUGUGGUCAGGGUGAUCAAUAGUUCUAUGGUCAGGGUGAUCGGUAUUUCAGGGGCCAGGGUGAUCGGUAGUUCAGAGGUCAGGAUGGUCGGUAGGUCUGUGGUCAGGAUGGUAGGUAGUUCUGAGGUCAGGGUGAUCAAUAGUUCGGAGGCCAGGGUGAUCGGUAGUUCGGCGGCCGGGAUGAUCAGUCGUUCUGAGGUCAGGGUGAUCAGUAGUUCGGAGGUCAGGAUGAUCGGUAGUUUGGCGGUCAGGGUGAUCAGUAGUUCUGAGGUCAGGAUGGUCGGUAGUUCUGUGGUCAGGAUGGUAGGUAGUUCUGAGGUCAAGUCUGGCCAGGGUGAUCAAUAGUUAUGUGGCCAGGGUGAUCAGUAGUUAUGUGGCCAGGGUGAUCAGUAGUUAUGUGGCCAGGGUGAUCGGUAGUUAUGUGGCCAGGGUGAUUGGUAGUUCAGAGGUCAGGGUGAUUGGUAGUUCAGAGGUCAGGGUGAUUGGUAGUUCAGAGGUCAGGGUGAUUGGUAGUUCAGAGGUCAGGGUGAUUGGUAGUUCAGAGGUCAGGGUGAUUGGUAGUUCAGAGGUCAGGGUGAUUGGUAGUUCAGAGGUCAGGGUGAUUGGUAGUUCAGAGGUCAGGGUGAUUGGUAGUUCAGAGGUCAGGGUGAUUGGUAUUUC
Molecule: long non-coding RNA, 3073 nt
Organism: Oncorhynchus tshawytscha (Chinook salmon)
Lineage: Eukaryota; Metazoa; Chordata; Actinopteri; Salmoniformes; Salmonidae
Source: Ensembl